UGCCUUCUGCCUACCUGUAUUUAUCAGCCAAAGUUCUGCAGCCCUUCUGUACAUCAAGUAGCAGUGAUUCAGGCAAGUAGUUUCACUGGCUUGAGUGUGGUUGUUCAGCUGAGUAAAUGGUGUGUGAUCUGAGUUCAAGGCAGUAGAUUUUGGGCAUGAGUGCUGUCUUUUUGUGGAGAAUGUGGGAAACUAAUUCCCAGAGCCUGUGAUCCUGGCAUGCCUUAAAUUCUCUCCUGUUCUUAUGCUUUGCCUCUGUCCAGUGGGUGGGCUGGAAGUGAGAUGGGAGGCUGGACUUCCCCCCCUUUCACAGUAAGCAGCUCUUCCAGAGAAAUUCCGCAGCUGUUUCAGAGUCUGUCCAGAGUUGCCUGCUUGCCUUCCUGAUGCUAUUUUCUACACAAAUAUAUUUGCUGCUGCUGCUGUGCUGGGCUCUGCGAAGACAGCAGAGAAGCCCUUAGAACCAAUGUAACUCUGUAGUAUGGUCUGUCAAACCAGGUGGCAUUAGAAGAAACCCUUGCAGCCCUCCCCAGCACCAGCUACUUGUGGUGCAUCUCCCCACAUCCUGAUCCUGGGUUGGCAUGGGCUGGUCCAGUCACAGCAGAGUUGACUCCUGCCUCAAAGGCACCUCUUGGUGCCGGUGGCCAAGCGCCAGCAGUGUGGGCUGAGGGACGCUGUGGAUGGUGAGAAAAGAUGCUGAAAUCUCUGGGAUGAGAUCACCUCCAGGGCUGGGGCUUGUGAAGGAGAGAGGAGGCCCAGCAGCUUCCAUCCUUAGAGCUGAAUAAUAGUCCUUCAGCCCUCAGGGGGUACUUCACCUCUUUCAGAUGCAAAUGACUUUGCCCUCCCCAUCUUCCUACUUCAGAAACUACCCCUUCAGAAUAACCUUCAGCUGUAAAUGAGUUUGUAAUUUGCCCCUUCCUGCUCCAAAUGCACAGAAACUGGGCAGUUACAGAGCUUAACUGCAGUUUGUGCUCUGCUGCUCGCAGGCUUGAUUAAGGUGAUGUUUCCUGGGACAUAGUGGAAUGUUGAGAUGCCACUAAUCAAAUGCACCAUAGUUUUCAUCUGGUUUUAUUUUAUUUCGUAUUUUAACUUCGUUUCCCCAGGAAACAAGUGCUGUCUGUUUCAUGCCUCUUGCGUUUGGCCAGUUCCAACCAGAUUGCACCAAUGGUUGGCAGUCUUGAAGAUCAUUAAUUUCCCACUUGUUUUUGUUCAGAUUAGUGGCUGGCUGGGCAAUCUUUGAAGCAAUGCUCUCUCUGAAGAAAAAGGAGGCUGCUUUCAGCUAGUCUCCAGUCUGCCUCAUAGCAGCUGCCCAGCCAGGCACUGCACAUGUGGUGGUGAUCAAACAGACAGCAGCUUCGUAGCCCUUGCCACCUCGCAAGGUGUGCGUAGUCCCCAGGGGAGAAGGUUUGGGCAAUAUCGGAGGGAGCUGCAGUGGAGGGGUAGGGGGGCAGAAGACACAGAUCUCUAUCAGACGGGGCCUGUUUGUUAUUCCUCCUUGUGGUGCUGUUACCCUUUUAUUUGUCAAGCCACUUGAGAUUUAGGAAGGCUGGCAGGCUGACUGGCAUGGCUUGGAGCUUCCUUUCCUUGACGUCCAGGACACCUUGGGCUGGAUGGAGAUGCUUGGGAGCCUGUUUUCUUCCUUUCGCCAUGGUAGAUCUGUUAACGUCAGUGACUACAGCUUGAAGUAGCUUGUCCAGGAUUAACAACUCUCAGUGGCACCUCUGGUAAUGUUUCAUUGCCAUGCAAAAGGAGGAAAGCACUUUGUCAGCAGCCUACUUCAGGCACAGAAAUUGAUAUCUGUGAGAACCAUAUGUACAGAGCAGCAAUUACUCAGAUCAUCAAUAUUUAUACAGCAGAUAAUAGUCAUCAUGGACAAGAUGAAUAUUGUCACAACAGCAGUAGCUGCUUGGGGGGGGGGGAAUGUAAAAAAUAAUUGCUGCUUUUUUUUUUAAACAGGGUAAUUAUUUAACUUUCAAGUAAUUGGUGAAGAUAGCUUGAAGUCUGAAUUAGAUGUUCAAUGGGAGUUCAUCUGCUUCUAGGAAGUAAAGGAAAUGCCCCUCCUCUCUACCCUCAUGUCACAUGGUGAAAACUGCCUGGGAUGUCAUCCUUUACUCUAGUGGCUUUUUCUGAAGGCAAUGCUGGUGCCAGUUGCUGAAUGAGGAAUCAUAAGCCAUAACAAACAAAUCAACCAACAAGAAUAAGCAGCUUUGUUUGCAAACAAAUUUUUGUUAAGUCUGAUGUGGAUGGACGUGCAUUUGUGUUGAGAUGGUGGUAUGGUUGCGCGUGCUUUGAUUUUAAAAGCCAUACCUCAGUGCCUGUGGAAGGUAGCCAUCCUUAGGAUGUGCUCUUUCCCAGAGCUUUCCAGCAUCCUACCCACUAGCUGAUGUGACACUGGUUGCCUUGGUGGUGCCUGGCUGGACAGGCAGCCCAGUGAGUCCCUGUCCUGGCUCCCACUUGGCAGAUGUCUGGAGGGACAGGGUUAUGGCUUCCUGUUUGUGCAGGAGAUGCAACUCCAGAUUUCUGCAAAGAGAACAACUCCUUCCACCCACCUUUUUUAACCUUUAUAUGUUGGUGUGAUUAUUUGGAGGCUUACCUUCACUGGCAAGAAAGUCUGCUGGGUUGCCCUGUUUUUGAGAAGUAUUGAAUUGAGAGCUACCUGUGUGUGAUCUGUUUGCUAUGGAACAAUUUACUUGCUGACUUUUGUCUUCUGCUCGUGAAAUGCCUCUGCAUAGUUCCAUUCUUUCUUUGUACUGACCUACUCUUCAGACAUGACUAUCUGAGUACUUGAACUCUUGCACGCCCCUGGACUUCUGUCACUUGAGGGAAAACAGUGGCUAGCAGCAUGCAGCACUUGAUGUUCAGAGUUUAGCUCAGUUGGGUUGGCUAUCAUUUACAAUCUCACAGCUCAAAGUUUUCAAAACACUGAAGCAACUCAAGAACAUUUUCAACUGAGUAAAUCCACAGAAGACCUAUGAAACUUCCAGGCACUGUAUUUUAUGGGAAAUUCUAUUCAGAUAAUGAGGCUUCUUGUGUGAUGCCAGGAGAAAAAUUGACCUAAGAGUGAAACUUUCAAAAGCCGACAUCCCAAAUGAUGGGCUGGCUACACAAGGAAGAAUCAAAAGGAAUUCUUUUAAGCUGGCAGCCCUCUUCCAGGAAAAUGUCAUAAACUGCUCCUUUUUAUUCUUUUCUGGAGUUACAUACCUUCUGCUGAGAUGUAAGCAGUGGAGAAGAUAGUGGCUUUUCUCUCCGAGUUAGGUCUGAUACUCAGCCUGAAGGAAGUGGAGACUCUGCUCCCACCUUUGUUUGGCAGCAUUUGAUCAGGGAUCUUUUUCUCUUCAGGUAAACCCAUUAGUUUGCGUGGAUUCUAGCCCUUCUCAAAAUAAAUUUUUAAUAUAAAAUAAUUAAACAUUCAUUGGAGCAGGGACAGGAACCCAGGUCUCUGCCUUUCCCUCAUACUUGCUUUUCCUUUGUGACCUCAAUAUUGAAUUGCACACUUCAAAGUGGAAUGGGGUCAGCGGAGGCAUUGGAAGAGCUCUGCUGAGCUAUUGAAAUUGCUGGUACUUAAAACUUUCAUCCGUGAGAAGGGGAAAGAGCAUCAUUUUGUCAGAUUCACCCAUAGUGAAUGAAAGUUUCCUUCUGCCAUGAGCAUACCCAGGUGCCUUUGAAUUGAAUCUGCCACUGGCAUGUGGCUUGGAGAAGUUUGACCCUGUUGCAUGCAGAUUAAUUUGGAUGGAAGCCUUGUCUGAAGCUAAAUUUAGGCCAUCUUAGAUCUUCAUAGUGCAGGUAAAGUUGAGACAUCCAGUAAUGGCAGCAUUAACAUUUCUGAUGCUUGUCUCCAGUGCAAAACUCUUAACAGAGAUGCUUUCUAAAUUGCAGACCACAGACCCAGUAUUGAAGCUAUGCAUUUUAAAACUUUUUUAAAAUAGUACCUCCAAUUUUUUUUUACUGAUGGUGAUGUAAUCUUUGCUCAGAAUUUAAGCUUGCAGUCAACAGACUUACUUUCUCAGUUACCUUAUCCAGGUCCCUUUGAGGCAGCCACUGUUGAGCCUGUGGGGGAACUAUCUGCAAAAGUGUUAAUUCAAACAUUUUCUUAUGCCUGAAGGUUCUGCCUUGAUGAAAGUAAGUACUAUACAGUUCUUUGAAGAGAUCACUGCAGUUCAUAAGCCAGCCCAUUAGGUAGGUGAGCUAGCCCUGUGAAAGAUCCAUGCUUGACACAUUCAUUGCUCAUUCAGUUAUAUUGCAGCAGAGAAUAGGCUUUUGUCAGAGCAAGGAGAAGAACAAGGGGCCAUUGAAGGGGGCAGGUAAUCAGCACUACUGAUGUUCCAGAUUAUUGAAUUGUGUUGAAAUAAUGAGUUUUUUCAUCAGCCUACAUUGUUUCUACCUAACUCUCUGAGUCUUUCUUCAUUGCAGUAACUUGCAAAGGGAUCUGGAGAUUAUGAGGCUGCUUCCCUUCACAUUUAACAGGGUACCAUGUUUUGGCUGUCUUGUGCCAUUGCAAAGUGCAGGCACACUUAUAUUCUAAUUUGAGGAUGAGAUGUUUGCAGUUUGAGGACAUGGGGUGCUUGCAGUAUCUGGAAACCAUGUUCCCCUCUAAUUCUAUUUCACUUCAGUGUCAAGCACUGGGGCACUGAUGUGAAGACUGUAGAUGAAGAUUUUUCUGUCGCACUGAUGCAUCCUAGCUAAAGCCUAAAGGGGUUUUGACAAAUAAGGGUUUAAAGAUGAGUCCUGUGUACUAGUUUUCUUUUAAACUAAAAAUGGGAAGAAUUGUGUGGUGAAGGAUGGAGUUGGCGAUAUGUUGGUAUGAAGCCUCAAGAAGCUUCUUGGAGCAGAAAAAUCAUUCCUCUUUACCUUUUAAGCAGUAAAAGGCUGAAUGUUUACCUCUUCAGUUGGUUUUACAGAUGUUUUGAAGACUUAUCCUACGUUACCUUCUGGAAGUUUUUCCUACAUCCUUAUUUUGUCAGAGUUCAUUGGUUUAUUUCAUGCAGGGGAAAAAACCCUGCCCAAAUCUCCUUUCACUUAAAAAUAGUGAAGGCUUCUUAGGUUUAGGAAUGCUAGCACCAUCUCUUAUGGGAACUGUAAUUAGCAUGCUUUGUUUUCCCAUUCUUCCCUUGGGGCUUGGCUUUAUGGCUGGUUUCCAUCUCUUGUUUUCAUGUUGAGUUGCUAUUGUGGUUAUGGGAGAUGUAAUCUAGCUAGGAAACCCAAUCCUUGUUGAAGAAUGGGAACAUGGGUCAUCCCAUAUGGAAGUACCUUGAGCUGCUAUAAGCAACACUUCAUCAUCCUGAAAACGAGUUGCCAACUUUCAGUAUUUAGUAGAAAGGCAGCACCUCUCUUAGUACAGGUGACAUAGCUGUUUGUUUCACUUUAUUCAUAAGGUGUUCCUCUUAAACCCCAA
Molecule: long non-coding RNA, 5386 nt
Organism: Pezoporus flaviventris
Lineage: Eukaryota; Metazoa; Chordata; Aves; Psittaciformes; Psittacidae
Exons: 3
Source: RefSeq, a predicted model, not a curated record